CUCUCUGGAGAAGCUCACUUGUGAGUGCCGAAGGUGCAAGGCGACAGCCGAAUCUCUCAGGCAAAAGGACAGAGA
RNAcentral lists this non-coding RNA (75 nucleotides) under human gut metagenome. RNAcentral's name for it is "Glycine riboswitch". It matches the Rfam family "Glycine riboswitch aptamer", at positions 8 to 87 of the family's 94-position model. From Rfam's summary of the family: This family represents the bacterial glycine riboswitch. Glycine riboswitches usually consist of two metabolite-binding aptamers domains with similar structures in tandem. The record is from RNAcentral.